RNAcentral lists this ribosomal RNA (253 nucleotides) under uncultured bacterium. RNAcentral describes it as "partial 16S ribosomal RNA". It matches the Rfam family "Bacterial small subunit ribosomal RNA", at positions 524 to 776 of the family's 1533-position model. The record is from RNAcentral.
UACGUAGGGUGCAAGCGUUAUCCGGAAUUAUUGGGCGUAAAGAGCUCGUAGGCGGUUUGUCGCGUCUGCUGUGAAAACUGGAGGCUCAACCUCCAGCCUGCAGUGGGUACGGGCAAACUAGAGUGCGGUAGGGGAGAUUGGAAUUCCUGGUGUAGCGGUGGAAUGCGCAGAUAUCAGGAGGAACACCUAUAGCGAAGGCAGCUUGCUGGGACGAUACUGACGCUAAGGCUCGAAAGCGUGGGGAGCGAACAGG